This is a non-coding RNA of Succinatimonas hippei YIT 12066, 373 nucleotides long. It matches the Rfam family "Bacterial RNase P class A". Rfam says of the family: Ribonuclease P (RNase P) is a ubiquitous endoribonuclease, found in archaea, bacteria and eukarya as well as chloroplasts and mitochondria. Its best characterised activity is the generation of mature 5'-ends of tRNAs by cleaving the 5'-leader elements of precursor-tRNAs. Lineage: Bacteria; Pseudomonadati; Pseudomonadota; Gammaproteobacteria; Aeromonadales; Succinivibrionaceae. The record is from Rfam.
CAAGUCAGCCAGGCAAUCGCUGCUGUGCACGCGUGUUUUUGCAUACGGUCACAGGGGAGGAAAGUCCGGGCUCCAUAGGACGGGGUGCCAGAUAACGUCUGGGAAGCGUGAGCUUACGACAAGUGCAACAGAAAGUAUACCGCCGGAACUUGUUUUCGGUAAGGGUGAAAUGGUGCGGUAAGAGCGCACCGCGUUUUUAGUAAUAAAAACGGCAGGGUAAACUCCACCCGGAGCAAGAUCAAAUAGGUCUCCAUUUUGUGUGGUCCGCACGGGAGACGGGUAGAUUGCUUGAACCGAUGAGCAAUUGUCGGUCUAGAUGAAUGAUUGCCGCUGCUUUGCAGAACAGAACCCGGCUUACAGGCUGACUUGCUAU